GAUGAACGCUGGCGGCGUGCCUAAUACAUGCAAGUCGAGCGAACGGACGAGAAGCUUGCUUCUCUGAUGUUAGCGGAGGACGGGUGAGUAACACGUGGAUAACCUACCUAUAAGACGGGGAUCACCUCGGGAAACCGGAGCUAAUACCGGAGAAUCUUUUGAACCGCGUGGUGGAAAAGUGAGAGACGGUCUUGCUGUCACUUCUAGAUGGAUCCGCGCUGCAUUAGCUAGUUGGUAAGGUAACGGCCUACCAAGGGAACGAUGCAUAGCCGACCUGAGAGAGUGGUCGGCCACACUGGAGGUGAGACGGGGUCCAGAGGCCUACGGGACGGAGCAGUAGGGAACGUUCCGCAAUGGGCGAAAGCCUGACGGAGCAGCGCCGCGUGAGUGAUGAAGGUCUUCGGAUCGUAAAACUCUGUUAUUAGGUAAGAACAUAUGUGUAAGUAACUGUGCACAGCUUGACGGUAACUAGUAAGAAAGCCACGGCUAACUACGUG
Molecule: ribosomal RNA, 497 nt
Filed under: uncultured bacterium
Lineage: Bacteria
Description: partial 16S ribosomal RNA
Rfam family: Bacterial small subunit ribosomal RNA
Source: RNAcentral